UACAGAGGUCCCAAGCGUUGUUCGGAUUCACUGGGCGUAAAGGGUGCGUAGGUGGCAGGGUAAGUCGGAUGUGAAAUCUCCGAGCUCAACUCGGAAACUGCAUUGGAAACUACCCAGCUUGAGGGAUGGAAGGGGGACUGGAAUUCUUGGUGUAGCGGUGAAAUGCGCAGAUAUCAGGAGGAACACCAGCGGCGAAGGCGGCGCUCUGGGCUGGAACUGACGCUGAGGAGCGAAAGCGUGGGGAGCAAACAGG
Molecule: ribosomal RNA, 253 nt
Filed under: uncultured bacterium
Lineage: Bacteria
Description: partial 16S ribosomal RNA
Rfam family: Bacterial small subunit ribosomal RNA
Source: RNAcentral